RNAcentral lists this non-coding RNA (86 nucleotides) under Karenia brevis. Lineage: Eukaryota; Dinophyceae; Gymnodiniales; Kareniaceae. The record is from RNAcentral.
CCGAUGAACACCGUGGUCUACAACUCUCUCAUCGACUCCCAGGCACGUGUUGGCUUGAUGGACGAGGUGGGCCUCCUGGUGCAGCA